GAUGAACGCUGGCGGCGUGCCUAAUACAUGCAAGUCGAGCGAACAGACGAGGAGCUUGCUCCUCUGACGUUAGCGGCGGACGGGUGAGUAACACGUGGAUAACCUACCUAUAAGACUGGGAUAACUUCGGGAAACCGGAGCUAAUACCGGAUAAUCUAUUGAACCGCAUGGUUCAAUAGUGAAAGACGGUUUUGCUGUCACUUAUAGCUGGAUCCGCGCCGCAUUAGCUGGUUGGUAAGGUCACGGCUUACCAAGGGAACGAUGCGUAGGCGACCUGAGAGGGUGAUCGGCCACACGGGAACGUGAACACGGUCCAGGCUCCUACGGGAGGCAGCAGUAGGGAAUCUUCCGCAAUGGGCGAAAGCCUGACGGAGCAACGCCGCGUGAGUGAUGAAGGUCUUCGGAUCGUAAAACUCUGUUAUUAGGGAAGAACAAAUGUGUAAGUAACUAUGCACGUCUUGACGGUACCUAAUCAGAAAGCCACGGCUAACUACGUG
Molecule: ribosomal RNA, 497 nt
Filed under: uncultured bacterium
Lineage: Bacteria
Description: partial 16S ribosomal RNA
Rfam family: Bacterial small subunit ribosomal RNA
Source: RNAcentral